AUUGAACGCUGGCGGCAUGCUUUACACAUGCAAGUUGAACGGCAACGCGGAGAAGCUUGCUUCUCUGUCGGCGAGUGGCGAACGGGUGAGUAUAGCAUCGGAACGUGCCAAGUAGUGGGGGAUAACCAAACGAAAGUUUGGCUAAUACCGCGUAAGCUCCAAGGAGGAAAGUAGGGGACCUAAAUAAGGCCUUACGCUAUUUGAUCGGCCGAUGUCGGAUUAGCUAGUUGGUGGGGUAAUGGCUCACCAAGGCAAUGAUCCGUAGCGGGUCUGAGAGGACGAUCCGCCACACUGGGACUGAGACACGGCCCAGACUCCUACGGGAGGCAGCAGUGGGGAAUUUUGGACAAUGGGGGAAACCCUGAUCCAGCCAUGCCGCGUGUAUGAAGAAGGCCUUAGGGUUGUAAAGUACUUUUGUUAGGGAAGAAAAGCUAGUUUUUAAUAAAAAUUAGUGAUGACGGUACCUAAAGAAUAAGCACCGGCUAACUACGUG
This 493-nucleotide ribosomal RNA is filed under the name uncultured bacterium. Its description in RNAcentral is "partial 16S ribosomal RNA". It matches the Rfam family "Bacterial small subunit ribosomal RNA", at positions 30 to 507 of the family's 1533-position model. The record is from RNAcentral.